Molecule: long non-coding RNA, 292 nt
Organism: Polyodon spathula (Mississippi paddlefish)
Lineage: Eukaryota; Metazoa; Chordata; Actinopteri; Acipenseriformes; Polyodontidae
Exons: 3
Source: RefSeq, a predicted model, not a curated record
UCAUAAGAUGGUCUUUUGUAAGUUGCCAUACAGAAGAACCAUAAUUAAAUAUGUAUUUCUGUAUCGUCAGAUACACCUUUACAUAUGAAGACUGUCUGAACCAUAUGCUAUAUGAAUCUCAACUACAAGGCAUACUGGUAAUUUCUUCUAUCAGGAGACAGUAGCUACUGUAGUUUUGGGGUGAGGAGAGCUGGAGAAACCAAGACUCAAGCCCAGUCUGAGGGGACAGCUUAGAGGCAAUUAAAAGUAAUAAGCUGUCUAUCAAAUACUGUGAACCAAUGGAAGGACUGAC